RNAcentral lists this long non-coding RNA (552 nucleotides) under Centruroides sculpturatus (bark scorpion). RNAcentral describes it as "uncharacterized LOC111624234". Lineage: Eukaryota; Metazoa; Arthropoda; Arachnida; Scorpiones; Buthidae. The record is from RNAcentral.
AAGUACUUUGCUUUAUUAAAUUUGUUUUAAAGUGGAAAAACAAAUGAAGAAUAAAUUAGCAGCCUACAAAAGGGGUGUGACGGGAGUGACGUAUUUUUUUGAUUGAUCCACACAUUGAACGUCAGGUGUGUAGAGUCAAUCGAUUCGAGUAGAGAGCGGAAUGCGAACUGCACCACGGACUACGAUGUACUAUACCAAGACUUUCCAUAGAGCCAACAUCAAUCUGGAUUAAUUCUGUCAAAUAUGUCGUCUCUACGUGAAAGAUUCCCUAGUUGUCAGCCGUUUGCCUUGAAAAAUUGAUAUAUUUUAUUCUCUACGUUAAAGAAGGAGCAAUUAAAAGAACUCAUCGCUACUCUCAAAUUAGCCAAUAGGACCUCUGCGAGAAGCUGGCCCCUAUUUAUGUGUUGGACACGUACCAAGAGGGUUUGCUUCCCAGUAAGGUCCUCUACGGGAAGCUGGACCAUACUUAGAUGUUUGACACGUGAAGAGUGCUCGGAAAACCACGUGGGCAGCACGUGGGUGAGGCGCAAGUCCGCGACCGUUCAGUAGUUU